AUUUGUGUUACUGUGAUAGGUAAUUCUAUUGCCAUUUUAAUCUUAGGUUAAUUUAACACUUCAUAUGAAGUAACUUUUAAGGAGGUUGUGAUAAUUUCUUUGAAGAUAGAUUAUGUUUUAUAUUCUUUUUAUGAUUGUUGACUGUAUGUCUUCUGUGAUUUUAUUCGUUGGUCGGGCAGGGAGCCAGGGACUUGAGCAAAACCAUGCAGAUAUUUACUUGAGCAUUCACUGCUGACUUAAUUUCCAUCUUAUUGAACUCUAAAAACUGAUAUACAAAAGCCCUUGACAUCUCUUUCAAUGAAUUAUA
Molecule: unclassified non-coding RNA, 307 nt
Filed under: Hevea brasiliensis (rubber tree)
Lineage: Eukaryota; Viridiplantae; Streptophyta; Magnoliopsida; Malpighiales; Euphorbiaceae
Source: RNAcentral